GUGCCAGCAGCCGCGGUAAUACAGAGACUGCAAGCGUUAUUCGGAUUCACUGGGCGUAAAGGGUGCGCAGGCGGCCGUGUGUGUCAGGUGUGAAAGCCCGAGGCUCAACCUCGGAAUUGCGCCUGAAACUACACGGCUAGAGUACUGGAGAGGGUAGCGGAAUUCAUGGUGUAGCAGUGAAAUGCGUAGAUAUCAUGAGGAACACCAGAGGCGAAGGCGGCUACCUGGACAGUUACUGACGCUCAGGCACGAAAGCGUGGGGAGCAAAAGGGAUUAGAUACCCCUGUAGUCC
RNAcentral lists this ribosomal RNA (292 nucleotides) under uncultured bacterium. RNAcentral's name for it is "partial 16S ribosomal RNA". It matches the Rfam family "Bacterial small subunit ribosomal RNA", at positions 505 to 796 of the family's 1533-position model. The record is from RNAcentral.